Bufo bufo (common toad) is the source of this 130-nucleotide long non-coding RNA. RefSeq lists it as uncharacterized. The transcript is spliced from 3 exons. Lineage: Eukaryota; Metazoa; Chordata; Amphibia; Anura; Bufonidae. The record is from RefSeq and is a predicted model, not a curated record.
GUGUGCUGUCCGCAUCUUUUGCGGCCCACUGAGAUGAAUGGGUCCGCAUUACAUCUGCAAAAAACGCGGAUCGGAUGCGACGGAAACUACGGCCGUGUGCAUCAGCCCUAAUAAAAGGGGUUCUUUUGUG